UAAACUACUCUCGGCAACGGAUAUCUUGUCUCUCGCAUCGAAGAAGAAAGUAACGAAAUGAAAUACUUGGUUUGAAUUGAAGAAUCCCACCACCCAUCGAGUCUUUUCACGCAAGUCGCGCCCGAACCCAUUAGGUUGAGGGCAGGCCUGGCUGGGCGUCUCACG
This 165-nucleotide ribosomal RNA is filed under the name Camellia sinensis var. assamica. RNAcentral's name for it is "5.8S ribosomal RNA". It matches the Rfam family "5.8S ribosomal RNA". From Rfam's summary of the family: 5.8S ribosomal RNA (5.8S rRNA) is a component of the large subunit of the eukaryotic ribosome. It is transcribed by RNA polymerase I as part of the 45S precursor that also contains 18S and 28S rRNA. Functionally, it is thought that 5.8S rRNA may be involved in ribosome translocation. Lineage: Eukaryota; Viridiplantae; Streptophyta; Magnoliopsida; Ericales; Theaceae. The record is from RNAcentral.